RNAcentral lists this long non-coding RNA (644 nucleotides) under Danio rerio (zebrafish). Its description in RNAcentral is "lncRNA (ENSDARG00000117212.1)". Lineage: Eukaryota; Metazoa; Chordata; Actinopteri; Cypriniformes; Danionidae. The record is from RNAcentral.
CCUAUAAUCGUUUCCAUCCCUCCAUCUUAAAACAGAGAAGAAGAGGAGGAGGAUUCUGGCUCGGCGAGAGAGAGAGACAGAAGACAGAGAAAAAAGGGGCCUCCAUCAUAAAGAAUGUAAUACUGCCACUGUUGAACAUCAGCAGGGAGCUGCAGGCAGAAGCCCUUCAGAGAAACUGUCCAGCUGCACCUGUAGGCAGAAGCUGAUGGGAUUAAACUUUACACAUGGAAGCAAAGUGUCACAAACUUACUCCGGGCUUUCCUGUGACUUUCAGGAAAGCUGCCAUAAGAUCCUGCAAGGAGACGCAAUGGCAAAGUGAGCUGUGAAUGGGCGGAGAACAGCCAGGACUCCGGCGCUGACCUGAGGGGAAAAGCACGGCCCUGCCAAGAACACAAAGACUUUGAGAUGACAGCGACUGUGCUGAGCAAUCCCACAUUAAACACAUAAGCCUGUUUGCUUGGAGGAAAAAUGGAUUGCCUCUGUGAGAUCAAAACUCCAGUCUCCUGAUGCAUGAGGUGAUUUGCAUUUGUAAACUGAGUGUUUGGGGCCUUGUUAGCUCUUAGACAGAUGUGUAAAGGUUGUACGCACAUUUGUAAGGCAUAGUUCAUCCAAAAAUGAAGAUGUGCUAAUAAUUUACUCACUCU